AGGUCGUGUUGGGGGAAAUUUCAGAGCAUUCCUUCUAUCUUUCCCAUGCCUCAUACAAAGAUUCUCCAUAGUUUUGUUGAAAGUUGGUCAUGUUCUUAUUAAACCU
This is a small nucleolar RNA of Lactuca sativa (garden lettuce), 106 nucleotides long. The record is from RefSeq and is a predicted model, not a curated record. NCBI's taxonomy places the organism in Eukaryota, Viridiplantae, Streptophyta, Magnoliopsida, Asterales, Asteraceae.